ACCCCCGUAGCUCAGAGGAUAGAGCAACGGCCUCCGGAGCCGUGUGCGCAGGUUCGAAUCCUGCCGGGGGUG
Molecule: transfer RNA, 72 nt
Filed under: Acidimicrobiaceae bacterium
Lineage: Bacteria; Bacillati; Actinomycetota; Acidimicrobiia; Acidimicrobiales; Acidimicrobiaceae
Description: tRNA-Arg
Rfam family: tRNA
About the family: Transfer RNA (tRNA) molecules are approximately 80 nucleotides in length.
Source: RNAcentral